CGACCCCAGGUCAGACGGGGUUACCCGCUGAAUUUAAGCA
RNAcentral lists this ribosomal RNA (40 nucleotides) under Crataegus rhodamae-loveae. Its description in RNAcentral is "partial 26S ribosomal RNA". The record is from RNAcentral. Lineage: Eukaryota; Viridiplantae; Streptophyta; Magnoliopsida; Rosales; Rosaceae.